Long non-coding RNA from Xiphophorus couchianus (Monterrey platyfish), 533 nucleotides. RefSeq lists it as uncharacterized. The record is from RefSeq and is a predicted model, not a curated record. NCBI's taxonomy places the organism in Eukaryota, Metazoa, Chordata, Actinopteri, Cyprinodontiformes, Poeciliidae. The transcript is spliced from 4 exons.
UUAAUAACUUAAUUUUUUUUAUUUAAAAUUUAGUUUGUUUUUUGUCGUUUUGAAUCCACAAAAUACUUUUUGGGGGCCAGAAUAAAGUAUUGCACAAAUUACAUACCUGCAAAUCAGUGUGACAUCUGAUGUUUGUCUUUGGGAGACCAGUUCAGAGAGGCGUGGCUUCACCUUGGCAAGUGCAUCUUCAGAGCAAAGUCUGUUCAUUUUCUUCUUUUUUUGCUCAACAUAUUUAGUGUGGCUUAAAAUAUUAAGAAAGAAACCACGCGACGUACAACUACAACAGCUGCUGAUACUGCACACACUAAAUUCCCCGCAGCACUGAUUGGCCGAGCAAUGUAACAUGAUCCUCUGCAGCCAGUGAUGGCCAAGCGGGGCGCGUCAUCACGACUUUACACAAGUGUGUCUUUACCUCCGCGGCAGAGGCUCCGCCGAACCCCUGAGACCGACUCAUCAAACCCCUGGGGUUCGAUCGAACCCAGGUUAAGAACCACUGGACUAAAGUAUCUUGCUCUGGCUCAGAAAUUAAAAAU